CGAGUGAAGCGGCAACAGCUCAAAUUUGAAAUCUGGCUCUCGGGCCCGAGUUGUAAUUUGUAGAGGAUACUUUUGAUGCGGUGCCUUCCGAGUUCCCUGGAACGGGACGCCAUAGAGGGUGAGAGCCCCGUCUGGUUGGAUGCCAAAUCUCUGUAAAGUUCCUUCAACGAGUCGAGUAGUUUGGGAAUGCUGCUCUAAAUGGGAGGUAUAUGUCUUCUAAAGCUAAAUACCGGCCAGAGACCGAUAGCGCACAAGUAGAGUGAUCGAAAGAUGAAAAGCACUUUGAAAAGAGAGUUAAAAAGUACGUGAAAUUGUUGAAAGGGAAGCGUUUAUGACCAGACUUGGGCUUGGUUAAUCAUCUGGGGUUCUCCCCAGUGCACUUUUCCAGCUCAGGCCAGCAUCAGUUUUCCCCGGGGGAUAAAGGCGGAGGGAAUGUGGCUCUCUUCGGGGAGUGUUAUAGCCCACCGUGUAAUACCCUGGGGGGGACUGAGGUUCGCGCAUCUGCAAGGAUGCUGGCGUAAUGGUCAUCAACGACCCGUCUUGAAACACGGACCAAGGAGUCGUCUUCGUAUGCGAGUGUUCGGGUGUCAAACCCCUACGCGUAAUUAAAGUGAACGCAGGUGAGAGCUUCGGCGCAUCAUCGACCGAUCCUGAUGUUCUCGGAUGGAUUUGAGUAAGAGCAUACGGGGCCGGACCCGAAAGAAGGUGAACUAUGCCUGUAUAGGGUGAAGCCAGAGGAAACUCUGGUGGAGGCUCGCAGCGGUUCUGACGUGCAAAUCGAUCGUCAAAUAUGGGCAUGGGGGCGAAAGACUAAUCGAACCUUCUAGUAGCUGGUUUCCGCCGAAGUUUCCCUCAGGAUAGCAGUGUUGAACUCAGUUUUAUGAGGUAAAGCGAAUGAUUAGGGACUCGGGGGCGCUAUUUAGCCUUCAUCCAUUCUCAAACUUUAAAUAUGUAAGAAGCCCUUGUUGCUUAAUUGAACGUGGGCAUUCGAAUGUAUCAACACUAG
This 1006-nucleotide ribosomal RNA is filed under the name Fusarium oxysporum f. sp. dianthi. RNAcentral's name for it is "partial large subunit ribosomal RNA". It matches the Rfam family "Eukaryotic large subunit ribosomal RNA", at positions 90 to 1126 of the family's 3401-position model. The record is from RNAcentral. Lineage: Eukaryota; Fungi; Ascomycota; Sordariomycetes; Hypocreales; Nectriaceae.